UCGAGAAUUUUUCUCAAUGGGCGCAAGCCUGAAGGAGCGACGCCGCGUGGGGGAUGAAGGGCUUCGGCUCGUAAACCCCUGUCAUUUGCGAACAAACCCCGCGGUUUAAGAGACGGCGGGCUGAUAGUAGCGAAAGAGGAAGGGACGGCUAACUCUGUGCCAGCAGCCGCGGUAAUACAGAGGUCCCGAGCGUUGUUCGGAUUCACUGGGCGUAAAGGGUGCGUAGGUGGCCGGGUAAGUUUGAUGUGAAAUCUCCGGGCUUAACCCGGAAACGGCAUUGAAUACUAUCCGGCUGGAGGGUUGGAGGGGGGACUGGAAUUCUCGGUGUAGCAGUGAAAUGCGUAGAUAUCGAGAGGAACACCAGUGGCGAAGGCGAGUCCCUGGACAACACCUGACACUGAGGCACGAAAGCUAGGGGAGCAAACAGGAUUAGAUACCCCCGUAGUCC
Molecule: ribosomal RNA, 448 nt
Filed under: uncultured bacterium
Lineage: Bacteria
Description: bacterial SSU rRNA
Rfam family: Bacterial small subunit ribosomal RNA
Source: RNAcentral